Molecule: small RNA, 4149 nt
Filed under: Pan troglodytes (chimpanzee)
Lineage: Eukaryota; Metazoa; Chordata; Mammalia; Primates; Hominidae
Description: retained intron
Source: RNAcentral
ACCCGGCGGAGGCGGCGGACGAGCGCUUCCCGGCCUGCAUCCGGGACGCCGUGUCGCAGGUGCUCAAGGGCUACGACUGGAGUCUGGUGCCCAUGCCGGUGCGCGGCGGCGGCGGCGGCGCUCUCAAAGCCAAGCCGCACGUGAAGCGGCCCAUGAACGCAUUCAUGGUGUGGGCGCAGGCGGCGCGCCGCAAGCUGGCCGACCAGUACCCGCACCUGCACAACGCCGAGCUCAGCAAGACGCUGGGCAAGCUGUGGCGGUGAGUGCCGGCGCCCCGGGGGCGGGGUUCGGGACCUUGGCCGCCCCUGGUCUCGGACUGCGAGCGGGGGCCUGGAGGGCGCAGAGCUCGCGGAGGUGGUGGCCACACGCAGGCUCCGGGCUCUGCACCCCGGGCGGGUGUCAGGGCGGGUCCCAGUGGAAAAACAUCCUCUGGCCAGCCGGGGUCCGGCGCCAGCUAUGGGAGUCGGGAUCCGCGGAGGGCAGCGCCUGGGGUGUGCACCAUCGUGGCGGGUGUACUCUGGAGCCAGUUCUCCUGGCGGGGAACACCCUGCGGAGGGCCAUGGCUGGCACCCCGACGUGCCCUCCAGCCGCUGCGAGUGGCCCCAGCCCCGGGAGGCAUGCCCGGCACGACAGCAAGUUGCAUGCGGCUCUCUGGAGGUGCCCCCUCCUUAGAAAGGGCUCAGCUCCUCCGGCUCCUGGACCACCCAUGGGGAGGGAGUGCGGCAGGCGGAUGGGUGGGCAGCAGGUUUGCCUGCGAGUACCCUCCCCGCAGUUUCUCCCUCUCCUGGACACCCUCGGUCCGAAGCAGGGAGGGCAGGAGUGGAGAUGACGGGGUGCGCCGUGUGCACGCCUUGGCGUGGUGGGGCCGGUCAGUUUUCCAGAAAUUAGGACUGCAGAGUGAAGAACUUGUUGCUCAGGACAGGCUGCCCCCACCGAGUGUCCUCUGCUUGGGUUUAAAAUGGUUCUCUUGGUUUGGGGCUCUGGUUCCCGUAUCCUGCUCCUCACCUGGAAGAAGGGAGCUUGGAGCUUGCGUAUUUGCACCUCCUGCCUUCUGUCUGGAUCUAGGGCGCAGCCACGGGGCGCUGUGGAAGGCAGGCCUCUGCUCCCCCAAGUCCUGCCGCACAGGCGGUUGGAGGUGAGCCUCGGGAAGAGUCCCAGGGAGUGUGUCCUGUGGCUCAGUGAGGACGGGCGCCUGGGCCCUGCCAGGGCUUCUGGGUGUCUGGGAAUGGAGGGACAGCAGCCCAGCUGCCCGCCGAAGGCCGGCACCGUUCCCGGGAAGCCUCGCUUUUGUCCACCGCCGGCUGGGUCCUGCCCGCCUCCCCCGCCUCCCUUAGAAAGCCCCAGAGGGAGGGAACAGCAGGCCCGGAAUGGGGGGAAAUAGAAGGAGGAAGAUGGGAGGCGUGGGGCUUGUUCUUCUUUGGCUGUCGUAAGCAUACCAACCUUCCCAAACAGGCGCCGGCCGGUUCUCCCAGAGGAGUGUACUGCCUGGUGCCACGGGAGGCUCCGGAGCGCACGGCAGGCGGGUUUCCCUGGUCAGAGCCUCCCGGCCCCGGCCUCUGCUGCCGGUUCCCCCUGUGGUGUGUGCCUGCGCCGAGGUCACAGUGGGCGCCCUGGCCAUCCCUGCCUCUGCCCUGUGCUGCAGCUUGCUGAGCGAGAGCGAGAAGCGGCCCUUCGUGGAGGAGGCAGAGCGCCUUCGCGUGCAGCACAAGAAGGACCACCCCGACUACAAGUACCAGCCACGGCGCAGGAAGAGCGCCAAAGCCGGCCACAGCGACUCCGACUCGGGCGCGGAGCUGGGACCCCACCCUGGCGGCGGUGCCGUGUACAAGGCUGAAGCAGGGCUUGGAGAUGGGCACCACCAUGGCGACCACACAGGGCAGACCCACGGGCCGCCCACCCCGCCCACCACCCCCAAGACGGAGCUGCAGCAGGCGGGCGCCAAGCCGGAGCUGAAGCUGGAGGGACGCCGGCCGGCGGACAGCGGGCGCCAGAACAUCGACUUCAGCAACGUGGACAUCUCGGAGCUCAGCAGCGAGGUCAUGGGCACCAUGGACGCCUUCGACGUCCACGAGUUCGACCAGUACCUGCCCCUGGGCGGCCCCGCCCCACCCGAGCCUGGCCAGGCCUACGGGGGCGCCUACUUCCACGCCGGGGCGUCCCCCGUGUGGGCCCACAAGAGUGCCCCGUCGGCCUCCGCGUCGCCCACCGAGACGGGUCCCCCACGGCCGCACAUCAAGACGGAGCAGCCAAGCCCUGGCCACUACGGCGACCAGCCCCGAGGCUCGCCCGACUACGGUUCCUGCAGCGGCCAGUCCAGCGCCACCCCGGCCGCCCCCGCCGGCCCCUUCGCCGGCGCACAGGGCGACUACGGCGACCUGCAGGCCUCCAGCUACUAUGGCGCCUACCCCGGCUACGCACCCGGCCUCUACCAGUACCCCUGCUUCCACUCGCCGCGCCGGCCCUACGCCUCGCCCCUGCUCAACGGCCUGGCCCUGCCGCCCGCCCACAGCCCCACCAGUCACUGGGACCAGCCAGUGUACACCACCCUGACCAGGCCCUGAGGGCCCAGCCGCGGGGAGGGACUCGCAGGCGUCAGGGGGCAGCCUUGUCCCGGCCCAGUGUGCGUGGCCAGGGCGGGAGGGGCCCCAGUGGCUGAGCUCCAAGUGCCUGCUGAAGUCUGCAGGGAAACAUGCUUGCUGCCCGUGGCCCUCGGCCUCCAGAUGGCCACACCUCUGCCGCCGAUGGACCAGCUCCCUCUCCCUUCUAUCUUUCUUUUUGAGGUGGUGGGAUUAUUCCACAAAGAAGGGCUGCCGUUUGGUCCCUCUUCUGUGAGGACUGGCGGCACCAGCACCUUCGCUUUGCAUCUCGGUAGAGGAGAAACGGCAGCACAGUCCAAGGACCAAAGGAGGGGGUGGCAGGGGCCUUGCAGGGCGCUGUGAGGUCCAGGCCGGCCUUGGCGCUGAGAGCCCCUGCACUCACGGCCACAUUCCCUCGACAACGGCUGCACGGGCUGUCCGGGAUCCGGGGUGUCUGUCCGCAGACCCUCUGGGAUGAGUCUGCUUGAGCAUCUCCAGGACCUGCUUGUCAGAUCUGAGGUGUCUCCUUGCUGGCAGAGUGCGCUCACGCGAGGGCUGGCUGUGAUGAACGCAUCUCUCUUUUAUUUUUAUGUUUUGGAUAAUUUUUAUUUUUGAAGCUUAAAUGUGUUUCUUCUGAAAGCUGUUAAAGAUGUAUUUAUGUUCUGUUAUUUUAUCUUUAAUUAAUGAGGUAAUUCGGGCAAAGAGUAGAAUUUAAGACAAAACGGAAGCUGGGAAGCUUCCCUUGAAGGCAGGCAGGAGGUGGGGUUGCAGCUGUUGGCCGGCAUCACGUUGCUCGGCUUAUGGGAGGCCGCCCUGGAGGGCCCGGAGGUCCCAAGGUCCCUGGGAGGACUGGGCCCCUCAUGCCUUGAGCUUGGCAACCGAAAACCCGAGGGAGGAGAAGGGACCUGCCUUGUGACAUCUCUGAUCAGGUUGGGGUGCCCCAGCACCCAGUACCAGUUUGGGGUUUGGGAAGCAGGACUCCGUCCCUGUCCCCGACUGUGCCACGUGGUAGGACACAUAGGACACAGGAAUUCCUGGGUCCUUGCCCAUGACUGUGCCAUGUGGUAGGACACAGGACACAGGAAUUCCUGGGAAGUGGUGGCUUCAGAAGUGAUCUUGGCUCGCAGGCACCAGUGCCACCUACCAAGCUGUGAAACUAAACCUUCUCCACUAAACGUCGUUAGGGCCUCAGUUCUAGACGAGUCAUACCUGAUUCACCUGCACUGCUUCCCCCUGUGUGCUGAGCAUAGAGCAUACGUUAGCGCCUACUUCACGGAAACUUGUGCCUUUAAACUUUGUAAAUUUAAACACAGCCGAGAAGUUGCUUCUUUGUACUUUUUCUACUUUUCCUACUUUUUUGUAGAAAAAAAAGAUAAUGCCUCUGCUUCUAUUUCUCUGGGGGUGGGGGUGGGGGCCGGGAGCCGCCGCAGACCCGUUUCAUGCAGCGUCUCCCUCGGCACCGCGUUCGGAGGACGCACCCUCACUCGCCUGCUGCCUUCACUCCUUUCUGACCAAGCAACGCUAACUUUUGUACAGAUCGAUUUGAUAAAAUUAAACAAAGUGCUUUUUAUGG